RNAcentral lists this transfer RNA (74 nucleotides) under Thiobacillus sp. RNAcentral's name for it is "tRNA-Thr". It matches the Rfam family "tRNA". From Rfam's summary of the family: Transfer RNA (tRNA) molecules are approximately 80 nucleotides in length. Their secondary structure includes four short double-helical elements and three loops (D, anti-codon, and T loops). RNAcentral also lists the same sequence under 2 other names. The record is from RNAcentral. Lineage: Bacteria; Pseudomonadati; Pseudomonadota; Betaproteobacteria; Nitrosomonadales; Thiobacillaceae.
GCCCCCUUAGUUAAGUGGUAUAACAGUUGAUUCGUAAUCAUCAAUCACAUGUUCGAUUCAUGUAGGGGGCACCA